ACCUUAUCCAGAGUGACCGAGGGACUUGGCCCGGUGACGUCACAGCAACCCUUGUCCCGCCAAACUUAGUAGGCGGAUCAACACGGUGCUACCUCCAACCCCAUAGUUCCAAGCGAUUAAUCGUUUUUUAUGGGGGGAAGAUAAGAA
This 147-nucleotide non-coding RNA is filed under the name Deltaproteobacteria bacterium. RNAcentral describes it as "SAM-I sequence". It matches the Rfam family "SAM riboswitch aptamer (S box leader)". Rfam says of the family: The SAM riboswitch is found upstream of a number of genes which code for proteins involved in methionine or cysteine biosynthesis in Gram-positive bacteria. Lineage: Bacteria; Pseudomonadati; Myxococcota; Myxococcia. The record is from RNAcentral.